This 503-nucleotide ribosomal RNA is filed under the name uncultured bacterium. Its description in RNAcentral is "partial 16S ribosomal RNA". It matches the Rfam family "Bacterial small subunit ribosomal RNA", at positions 28 to 507 of the family's 1533-position model. The record is from RNAcentral.
GACGAACGCUGGCGGCGUGCUUAACACAUGCAAGUCGAACGGUGAAGCGCUUUCCUUUUUGGUUGGUGUGGAUGAGUGGCGAACGGGUGAGUAACACGUGAGUAACCUGCCCCCUUCUUCUGGAUAACCGCAUGAAAGUGUGGCUAAUACGGGAUAUUCUGCGCCUGCUGCAUGGUGGGUGUGGGAAAGAUUGUGCCUUUGGGUGUUUUCGGUGGGGGAUGGGCUCGCGGCCUAUCAGCUUGUUGGUGGGGUGAUGGCCUACCAAGGCGGUGACGGGUAGCCGGCCUGAGAGGGUGGACGGUCACACUGGGACUGAGACACGGCCCAGACUCCUACGGGAGGCAGCAGUGGGGAAUAUUGCACAAUGGGCGCAAGCCUGAUGCAGCGACGCCGCGUGAGGGAUGGAGGCCUUCGGGUUGUGAACCUCUUUCGCCAGUGAAGCAGGCCUGCUCCCUGUGGGUGGGUUGACGGUAGCUGGAUAAGAAGCGCCGGCUAACUACGUG